CUGAAUAUUUCGCUUAAUUUUCUUGAUAGAAAAGCGGGGGAACCAAUGGUUUCAACGGGGUGAGUAAGGUCCGUUCUUAUGCGACCUUUAGGGCAGAUUUCUCGCGGCCCGAACCCGACAGCUAACCUCGUAAGCGAUCGUGAGAAAGGAG
Molecule: small RNA, 151 nt
Filed under: Paenibacillus ferrarius
Lineage: Bacteria; Bacillati; Bacillota; Bacilli; Caryophanales; Paenibacillaceae
Description: c-di-AMP sequence
Rfam family: c-di-AMP riboswitch aptamer (ydaO/yuaA leader)
About the family: This family represents a conserved RNA structure found upstream of the ydaO and yuaA genes in Bacillus subtilis and related genes in other bacteria. The ydaO/yuaA element is thought to act as a genetic "off" switch for the ydaO and yuaA genes in its native state.
Source: Rfam by way of RNAcentral